CCUACGCGUGGCAGCAGUGGGGGAUAUUGGACAAUGGGGGAAACCCUGAUCCAGCGACGCCGCGUGAGUGAAGAAGGAUUGCGGUAUGGAAAGCUCUGGCAGCAGGGAAGAAAGAAAUGAAGGUACCUGACCAAGAAGCACCGGCUAACUACGUGCCAGCAGCCGCGGUAAUAAGUAGGGGGCAAGCGUAAUCCGUAAUUACUGGGGGUAAAGGGAGCGGAGAAGGGUAUGCAAGUCUGGAGCGAAAGGCGGGGGCCCAACCCCCGGACUGCUCUGGAAACUGUGUAACUUGAGGGCAGGAGAGGUAAGCGGCAUUCCUAGUGUAGCGGUGAAAUGCGUAGAUAUUAGGAGGAACACCAGUGGCGAAGGCGGCUUACUGGACUGUAACUGACGUUGAGGCUCGAACGCGUGGGGAGCAACCAGGAUUAGAUACCCCAGUAGUC
This 443-nucleotide ribosomal RNA is filed under the name uncultured bacterium. Its description in RNAcentral is "partial 16S ribosomal RNA". It matches the Rfam family "Bacterial small subunit ribosomal RNA", at positions 338 to 795 of the family's 1533-position model. The record is from RNAcentral.